This 121-nucleotide ribosomal RNA is filed under the name Nicotiana sylvestris (wood tobacco). The record is from RNAcentral. Lineage: Eukaryota; Viridiplantae; Streptophyta; Magnoliopsida; Solanales; Solanaceae.
GGAUGCGAUCAUACCAGCACUAACGCAUCGGAUCCCAUCAGAACUCCGAAGCGAAGCGUGCUUGGGCGCGAGAGAAGUACUAGGAUGGGUGACCCCCUGGGAAGUCCUCGUGUUACAUCCC